Molecule: non-coding RNA, 57 nt
Organism: Eubacterium sp. An11
Lineage: Bacteria; Bacillati; Bacillota; Clostridia; Eubacteriales; Eubacteriaceae
Source: Rfam
AUAAUGAUACUUCCAGACAAAGUGUCUGGUCUGAAUAAGAUGGUGUGAUUCCAAUGC